AACGAACGCUGGCGGCAGGCCUAACACAUGCAAGUCGAGCGACGACUUCGGUUCUAGCGUCGCACGGGUUGGUAACCCGUUGGAUUGUGUCUUUCUCUACGCCAUAGCCCUGGGAAACUGUGAGUAAUACCGUAUACGCCCUCUCUUGGAAAGUUUUAUCGGAGAAGGAUCAGCCCGCGUGGGAUUAGGUGGUUGGUGGGGUAAUGGCCUACCAAUCCUACGAUACAUAGCUGGUUAGAGAGGAUGGUCAGCCACACUGGGACUGAGACACGGCCCAGACUCCUACGGGAGGGAGGAGUGGGGAAUCUAAGACAAUGGGGGCAACGCUGAAGGAGCCAGGCUGGGUGAGUGAUGAAGGCAGUAGGGAAGUAAAGCGCUCUAAGAUGGGAAGAAAAUGACGGUACCAGCAGAAGAAGCCCCGGCUAACUACGUG
This 433-nucleotide ribosomal RNA is filed under the name uncultured bacterium. RNAcentral's name for it is "partial 16S ribosomal RNA". It matches the Rfam family "Bacterial small subunit ribosomal RNA", at positions 29 to 507 of the family's 1533-position model. The record is from RNAcentral.